CUUUCUCUUUCUCUCUCUUUGUCUUCUCCCUUUCUAUAAAUCAAAACCCAAACCCCAUCACCACCUUUUGAUCACAAUCUCCCCCAUUAAAACACACCACUUCCACCAUAUGUCUCCACGGACCACCGCCUUUCUGGCUCUUCUUCUUCUUCUUGUUGGUGCAGGUGGACAGUUCCAAAGGGAUCGCAUUGAUCCCAUGGUUAUCUUCCACCUCUCUUACCAGACUAUCAUAACAAAGUCUGGCCUUUUUCCCAUUGGAUCAUGCUAUCCCUUAGGACCUCUCCAUCAGUGCUUCUUUCUCAGCAUCUCCCACCUCCCUUUCAGGCUGCAAUCUCAGAAAUAGGGGUGUGUUUGGCUUUGUAUUGAAAGUCCACCUGCAAUAGUAGGGAAAUAUUCGUCUUUUUAAGACAUGGUCUUCAGUGACAUGUCGAGCUUAUUAUUCUUCGAUUACUAGUUUCCUAUUGCACAUGGGUUGAAGACAAUGUGGGGUCAAUAUUUAAAACUACUAAGCCAUAAGUUGAUGAUCAUUCAAAUUUCAAAGGCAUUACAAUGUUGUGAUCAAGUGAUUUUCUUUUACCAGAGAAAGUGAUGGAAUCAUGGUAUUGGGUUUUUCUUUUCUCCUUCUGCCAUUUCCCCUAUGUUGAUCUAUAUAAGAUGAUGGCUAUUAGUUUACCAGGAGACUUCUCUUCAGAGCUGUUUUAACAACUUCUUCACCUCCUUGACUAUAUCCAAAAUUGUUGCACUGAAAAAAUUGGAUGAGUACAAUGUGUGUGUGGAGAUGGCAUGAUUUUUUGUGGAUGUAACUAGGCCCAUUCAGCCAAACUUUCAAUCUUAUCUGAUUGGCAUUUGGGCU
Long non-coding RNA from Vitis riparia (riverbank grape), 853 nucleotides. RefSeq lists it as uncharacterized. NCBI's taxonomy places the organism in Eukaryota, Viridiplantae, Streptophyta, Magnoliopsida, Vitales, Vitaceae. The record is from RefSeq and is a predicted model, not a curated record. The transcript is spliced from 2 exons.